GCCGGGCGUUCCCAAUCUCCCUCCCCCACCCCUUCAGCCAGUUCUUAAAGGAGCAGGCCUGCAAUCUGGGAAGGCGGGAGAAAUGGAGGAAAACUAAAUGUGCAUGUGGCGUGAGUGUGCCUGUGUGUGCGUGUGUGUGCGGGAGCAUGCGGGAGUAUCUGUGUGUGCCUGUGUCUAUGUGUUGACUGUGUAACUGUGUCAGAAGGCCUAUGUGUCUGAGUGUGUUGCUAUUUCUGUUUCUGUCUCCACCUAUGUGUCACCAUUAUGCUGCAUGUGUCUGGAAUAUUUACCUAUGCGGCCGACCCUGAUGAACCCCUUUGGCUGUGGAAUUGAAGUUGGGCACCGG
Molecule: long non-coding RNA, 346 nt
Filed under: Pan troglodytes (chimpanzee)
Lineage: Eukaryota; Metazoa; Chordata; Mammalia; Primates; Hominidae
Description: long non-coding RNA NONPTRT018291
Source: RNAcentral